AUGUGUCCCACCAAGGACCCCUUCGCCCCACCUGAACUUCGGCUCUGCGGCCAGGAGGCAAUGGAGUGUGGUAACACACCAAUUGAAGUUGCUGCCUCUAAAGGCAGUAGGGACAUGGUUGAAAUGUUAUUCCCUUUAACUUCUCUUGUUUCAACGCUGCCGAACUGGAGUAUUGAUGGAAUCAUUUCUCAUGUGAAACACUUUGGUUUGAAGCCGAUGGAUAAGCAAAAAUGUGCGAAGAUAAGAACUGAACUAAAACAGAAAGCUUCAGAGGCAUUUAAGGAAGGGAAAUAUUAUGUGGCAUCAGAGAUGUAUACUGGUGCAAUGGCAUUUGACCCUAGUCCAGAUGAUUGUGCGGCCAUAUUGGCAAAUAGGAGUCUCAGUACGUUGCGCGGUGGGAAUGGAAGAGCUGCUCUCUCUGAUGCUACCAUGUGCAGGAUGGCGCGACCUCUUUGGCCAAAAGCUUGCUAUCGAGAAGGCGCUGCUCUUAUGUUAUUGAAGAAGUACGAGAGAGCAUGCGAGGCUUUUGUGGAUGGCUUGAAGCUUGACCCUACAAAUGGUGAUCUUGCAAAUGCUUUAAGUGCAAGUUGUACACAGAUUCUUGACAAUUCUCAUGUUCAAAAUAUUUUGGUCGCAGGGAAGCCCAAGAAGCAGCAAAGAAUGCUCGUCGCCGUGAAAAGUGACUGA
RNAcentral lists this ribosomal RNA (687 nucleotides) under Triticum aestivum (bread wheat). RNAcentral describes it as "partial small subunit ribosomal RNA". Lineage: Eukaryota; Viridiplantae; Streptophyta; Magnoliopsida; Poales; Poaceae. The record is from RNAcentral.